GAUGCGGCUGAAGUUGUGCAGGGUCCGGUUCCAGCGGAGCUGCGCGGCCGCCUCCGACGGGCUCUCGAGGGCCGAGAAGACGGUGGCGCCGGCGCUCAGCUGGGAUCCAGUCCUCAGCAUGUUCCCAGAAGUACUUGCCUUGCUGCAGCAGAGCGUGGUGAAGAGUGGGGGAGGAAUGUCUGUCUGGGAGCCCGGAGUCCUGAAUCUCGUGAUGCUACUGAGACAACAAUGAUGGGAAUGAGUCCUCCUUACAUUUCAUGUCCCUUCCUGCAUUUGACAGGUACGUGCUGGCUGAUGGUCCUCUGAGACCAUUUACCCUGCUAAACUUUUCCUAAGCAGGUUCCACUUGUGACUAGGCAACUUCAUACAAUUUGGUUUGUUCUCAAGGACGUGUGGAGUCAAAGCGUGUGGCUGAACACUGUGCUCUGGUUCUCAUGCAGGUAUCAGGACUGCUGAUAUUUUUGGGAGCAUUAGCAUUCAUCACAUUAGCAUUAGCAUUCAUCACACAUUUAUUGGUACCUGACCCAAGGCUCCUGGCAGUGACUGGCUGGUGUGUUUCCUGGGCCGUGGUUCAGAUGAGACAUAUGUGUGAGUGUGUGCAUGUGUGUGCAUGCAGAUAAUUUCCCUUGCAUUAAUAAAAAAAGUGACCCUACAGUUGGUUGAUCAUUAGUGUAUCCAUCCAAUGUAUGGCAACUUGUGUUGAAUAACCAACUUUACACAAGAUCUCAUGUUCACUCCCUCCUCUCUCUUUUGUUGAGCAUUGCUAAGUGGAAGAGUGGAUCAUUUUCUGAGUUGCUUCCCUGCUCCUGUUCACCUUCUGACAUGCAGCAGGAUAAAUAACAGCAUUCUCCAACCAGUUGGCCUCAUCCUCCCUCCUGGCCUUGAAAAUCUGUGAAUCUGAAACAAAGAGGAUGAAGAAGGAUUUCUGCUUGUGUCAGGAAAACCCUUUUAUUUUUCAGUGUUAAUAUUUCUAAUUUACAUUUACUGCUUUCCAAGCCUGGGGGUUUAAAAACGAUGUGGAACUGCAACUAUGAACCCUCCCUUCCCAUAUAUUGGGACAAGCAGCUAUUUAUAGCUUUUGAUUUGCACUUGGAGGAAGAACCAUAAAUAUUCCUCACUUCAGCAGGAAAAUGGUUCAAGCAAUAUAAAAAGAGUGCAUAGGAAUGGCAUAGGACUCAGGCUGUGUUGAUUAUGCUGUUUCAGCUAAGAUUUAUCUAUUAGAGGUUUUUGAGACUGGUACAGUCUUAUCUUCAUUUAAAGAUAGCACAGCCCUUUGGAGCCAGUUGUUAAGACUUACAUCAUUAACAGAAUGGUGUGCAAUAGAUGCUCUGUGAAAACAACUCAAUUCCUUGGCUUUAUGCUCCUGUGUGUUUUAGGAAGAGACCAGAGCCUAAAAUCACUGAUGUGAAAAUUUGCAUUGUAUGACUAUGUCUUUGGGGGACAUGAUAAUCAUUUGUGAUACCACCUUUUAGCGAGUCAUCUGUAAUGAGGAGAGAGGGAGAAGGGCUGUAAUUGUUCUGUGUGUUUGUUUAAAGAUUCUUCAAAUACAUAAUUGAUAAAAUACAAUCUCUCAUGAUCAUGUGUAAUUUUACAGCGUUAAAAAUAACUAUCAGAAUACAUCUUUCAAUAGCUUUUACAGUUUUUUUAUUUUAACAUACCUGGGUAGGAGUUUCAUAAGUGGCUUGUUGAUGUUGUGGUUUUGAUGGCUCCAAGGAGAAUGUGAAAGUUCUCUUCCCUGGUCAGAAUUUCUCAAGACAUUAUUUAUUCAUAUAAUGAACCUAUUCUCGGUAUUUCUAUUGCACACAGUUUCCAGUGGAAAUAAAUGUUCUUCAUUCCAGUCAACCGAAAUGCAAACAGUAUUUUAAAUUAAAUAUAGUUACUAAUUUUAAAA
Molecule: long non-coding RNA, 1891 nt
Organism: Pseudopipra pipra
Lineage: Eukaryota; Metazoa; Chordata; Aves; Passeriformes; Pipridae
Exons: 4
Source: RefSeq, a predicted model, not a curated record